This 2815-nucleotide unclassified non-coding RNA is filed under the name Hevea brasiliensis (rubber tree). Lineage: Eukaryota; Viridiplantae; Streptophyta; Magnoliopsida; Malpighiales; Euphorbiaceae. The record is from RNAcentral.
AAAAAAAAAAGAAAAAGAAAGAAGAAAGAAAUGGCCUUAACCUGUCUCUUUGAGGCAAGCCGCAUGAAUCAGUCGAGAAGAGCUCUGUUGUUUUGUAAUUUUGACUUUUAGAUUGGAAACCAUUAUGGGUGUUUUAGCUUUAUUAUUUAUUAUUCAGUAGCAUUUUAUUUUUGUUGCUCGGUAGUUUCAGUGGAUAUUUGGUCUUGCAAAUCCUUUUGGGUACCUUUAGCUGAAGAUCAGUUAGCGUGUCUACGUUUCCCUGGCAUUAUUAUUUAUUUUGCUUUUCUAUUGAAUCUUUUGCAAAAUGAUGCAUAACAAUACACUUUAGAGGGGCAAUAGAGUAAUGGCGUUGCUGUUUUAUUUCUCAUGCAGUGCUCCAGUAGGGGCCAAAAGAAGAGGUGGCCCAGGUGGGUUAAACAAAGUUUGUGGCGUUUCACCUGAACUUCAGGCCAUUGUUGGUGAGCCCGCCUUGCCAAGGACUGAGGUAUAAUCACUACUUGGUUUUAUUUAUAUAAUGCUUUAUGUUCUCUAAUAAAUCCUUUGCUUGAUACAGAUUGUGAAGCAAUUGUGGGCAUACAUAAGGAAAAACAACCUCCAAGAUCCAAGCAAUAAGAGAAAGAUAAUUUGUGAUGAUGCCCUAAGGGUGGUUUUUGAGACAGACUGCACUGACAUGUUCAAGAUGAAUAAGCUGCUUGCUAAACAUAUCAUUCCUCUUGAACCUACAAAGGAGACUGGUCAAGCUAAACGAGUGAAGGUUGAUGUUGAGUCCACUACUGAAAGUAGUGAACCUGGUGCAUCUGUGGUGCUGAUAUCCGAAGCACUUGCUAAGUUUUUUGGGACUGCUGGAAGGGAGAUGACCCAAUUGGAGGCAUCCAGGCUUGUUUGGGAGUAUAUAAAGGUUAACCAAUUGGAGGAUCCACUGAAUUCAAUGGUGAUAUUAUGUGAUGCAAAGCUCGGAGAGCUUCUUGGAUGUGAAAGCAUUUCUGCAGUGGGGGUAGAAGAGAUGUUAGCACGACAUCAUUUGUUCAAGAAGUCAUGAUGUUUGGCUAUGCUAACUGCUAGUGGUAAGUAUGAUGAUAAUGUUCAUAUAAAGUGUGCAUGCACACGCUCGUGUGCAUUCAUCUUUGUGGUCUACUCUGUGUUUUCUUUUGCCCCGCGUUUCUUUUAAAUGAAUAUAUAAUAUUCUACAGGUUACAUUUUGUUUGGCUUGAGGGAAGUUUGGGGAAAAUGAGAAUAUUAGAAGUGACUUUAAGUUGACUUCCUUUGUUUCAGCUCUCAAAGGACAGAAAAUGAGAGAAAUGGUGGGAGAUUAGGACAAUUAUAGUAUUCCCUAAAAUUGGAGAAAAAAGAACAAUGGAAGUUUAGAUCGAUAUGCUUUUAAAUUACAACUUCCAUUUGAAAAAUCUUUUCAUUACUAAGGAUUUAAAGAGUGUUCCCAUUGUAAAUGAUUUCUGGGUGUUCUUGAAGGGAGCUAACAAUACUAUGGCAUUGGUCUUACACAUUUUCAGUUUAAUUGUCAGAAUAGCUCUCUCCUUAACUUGCAUCCCCUAUGCAAUGCUUGUAAACUAGACUCGUUUUAACAAUCUCUCGUACUACUUACUACAUACUCUUUUUGGUCAUUUUGAUAGAUUAAGGUACUUUUAGCUAAACACUUAAACUAAUUAAAAUUAGCUUCUAAGUAGUUUUACCAAACACUCAACUACUUAAUUUUAAGUUGACUUAUAGGUUGGAAAAGUACAUUUCAAGUCAAAAGUUAAAAGUAGCCAAACCAAACACCCACAUAGAAUUGACAUGCAGAUUUCUAUUACUGUGAAUUUCAUCCCUUUUAUUGAGUUUUCACUGGUUUUCUUGAUAUUGUGAUUUAUUUCGUAACUUUGGUAAGUCUGUGAAGAUCUUGCAUGAUUUUACUUUGCAAGUCUUUUCCUAGCAUAUUUGUCCCUCUAAGCCUGCUUGUUUUGCACCUUAUGUUUCAAAAUUUUCCUGUUUACUGUAUAUAUUGAUUUGUUAUGUAAGUAUUGAAUUUAAAAUACUGCAAGCAUGUUUUGCACAUGUAUAUUUAUCUUCUAUCUUUUUUGCUUUAUGGUUCAUUUUCCUAUGGUGUGAUGUCUCCAUUAAAUGAAAUGAUGCAUUAGUUUUCCCUCUUUCUUUCAGGUGCAAGGAAUGUUUUGUCAGUACCGCCCUUCUGAUCUGAUGGUAGAACAGAUAGUUAAGAACCUUAAUUUUUCCCCCUUUUCUGUUCUUUUAUUUUUGUUAUUGUGAAUUAACAUGGCUAGAUGAAAUGGUGAUUUACUCUCUAGUUUGUUGUGAUCAGGAUGAAAAUGUACCACGGGCCAAUGGCAUGGUGUAUCUUUGUAGUAAUGCCUUUGCCCUGGAUUUUUAGGCUGUCUUGCUAAUCUUUUGCUGUUUGAACUUGUCCAUGCCUAACCCUUAUAGUAGGUAACAGCAGUGGAAUUGUAAAAUCUUACUUCCUUGAAUGACCCAUUGGGGUAUCUCAUUCCAUAUCUAGGGCUAUUGCUUCUUUAACUGCAAUUUUUUCCUUCCUCACUUGGUACGUAUCUGUUAUGGUUACUGAUUUUCCAGGAAUCAUUCAUGAAUCGUUUAAUUAUUAUUGUACAAAAUGAAUUGAAGGGUUGGGUAAACAAUGCUGAUGAAACCCGAAGCUGACUUGUCGUCAGUUAAUGUACAUAUGAAUGAGAAGCGCAUAAUUGGAACUUCGACUGUAGGCUGGAUACAUUAUUCAGUCUUGGGAAAGUUCAGUGCACUGAUGGUUUUUAUAUUUUCGACUUAGCUUUAUACUCAACUCAACUAAGCCUUU